Molecule: transfer RNA, 74 nt
Filed under: Escherichia coli
Lineage: Bacteria; Pseudomonadati; Pseudomonadota; Gammaproteobacteria; Enterobacterales; Enterobacteriaceae
Also listed under: 2 other names
Description: tRNA-Asn
Rfam family: tRNA
About the family: Transfer RNA (tRNA) molecules are approximately 80 nucleotides in length. Their secondary structure includes four short double-helical elements and three loops (D, anti-codon, and T loops).
Source: RNAcentral
GGGGAUAUAGUCCAAUGGUAGAACAGUAGGCUGUUAACCUACAUAUGGAAGUUCAAUUCUUCCUAUCCCCUCCA